AUGGAAUGCACUUCUCCCUCCUCGAGGCUGUCACUCCUCCGGAGUGCAAACCGGACAAAUUUAGCCCCGGUUCAGUGUCAGAUGACACAGAUCCAGGCUGCUGUUUUUCAGCUGGGGCUUUCUCAGCUUCGCGGGAGUCGCCUUGUGCCGGAGGGCAGCGCCGUGCCGUGCAGGACGCAGCGCCAUGCACGGGGCCGGCGGGGACCGCCUCGCCCGGGAGCAGCCUGUGCAGCGCGAAGGGACGGUCCCCAUCCGCAGAGCGGAUUUAGCAUUUAUUUAGCAAGCGGCGUCCGCCGUAGCGCGCCAAGCAGGCUGCAACGAAUACGUUUGCAGGUGCGACCGCCGAGUUUGGGGGGGUUUUCCCGGCAUGUAUCGGGCCAUCUGACAGCCCCUGGGAGCAUCUGCCCAGCCUGUCUCCAUCCGCCCAGUCCGUCCUCUAACUUACCUGCGGCUCCAUUGCAAAAUCCCCCGUUCCAGGCCCCGUUACCGGGCGCCCCAGCACGCCCCAGCCCAGCUCCUCCGCCAUGCCCAAGUCUGCCGUGGGGCAGAUGCAACGGAAGAGGCGAAGGGCUGCGGGUCGGCACGGGACGGAGCCGUGCUGGUCCCUGCCGGCAGGUCUUUCYGAGAGACCCCGCGCGCUCCUCGGCCGGCCACCGCGUUGUGCUCCAGCUCACCUCUCCUGCAUCCCAGGCCCUGGCAUGUGCCGAAACAGCCKCUUUCCCAGGGAAAAGGCAGCCCGACGCCAGCCCCAGCCCCAGCCCCCUCCAUCGCCCCAGCCCCUUCGCUAGGAAACGAGUGCAGUUUCAAUCCAGAGCACACUUUGGGGCCGAAGCGGCAGAUUUCACGAUUCCCCUCCCUCCUGCCACGUCCAUCCCCGCAGCCGAGCAAAACCCACCUCGGCCGGAGCGAGGCGCAAACGUGCCUGGCACGGCGACGCUCGCUGUGUGCACCUGGAAACCAAGGAAACUUCAGCCUCCACUGAUUUUUUUUAUUAUUAUUUUUAAUGCACAGUUACCAAAUCRCAAGCCUCAAAGCUUUGCUAAUUAG
This 1047-nucleotide long non-coding RNA is filed under the name Apteryx haastii (Great spotted kiwi). RNAcentral describes it as "lncRNA (ENSAHAG00000000203.1)". Lineage: Eukaryota; Metazoa; Chordata; Aves; Apterygiformes; Apterygidae. The record is from RNAcentral.